AUUGAACGCUGGCGGCAGGCCUAACACAUGCCAGUCGAGCGGAUGAAGGGAGCUUGCUCCUGGAUUCAGCGGCGGACGGGUGAGUAAUGCCUAGGAAUCUGCCUGGUAGUGGGGGAUAACGUCCGGAAACGGGCGCUAAUACCGCAUACGUCCUGAGGGAGAAAGUGGGGGAUCUUCGGACCUCACGCUAUCAGAUGAGCCUAGGUCGGAUUAGCUAGUUGGUGGGGUAAAGGCCUACCAAGGCGACGAUCCGUAACUGGUCUGAGAGGAUGAUCAGUCACACUGGAACUGAGACACGGUCCAGACUCCUACGGGAGGCAGCAGUGGGGAAUAUUGGACAAUGGGCGAAAGCCUGAUCCAGCCAUGCCGCGUGUGUGAAGAAGGUCUUCGGAUUGUAAAGCACUUUAAGUUGGGAGGAAGGGCAGUAAGUUCAUACCUUGCUGUUUUGACGUUACCAACAGAAUAAGCACCGGCUAACUUCGUG
RNAcentral lists this ribosomal RNA (484 nucleotides) under uncultured bacterium. Its description in RNAcentral is "partial 16S ribosomal RNA". It matches the Rfam family "Bacterial small subunit ribosomal RNA", at positions 30 to 507 of the family's 1533-position model. The record is from RNAcentral.